Molecule: long non-coding RNA, 559 nt
Filed under: Ananas comosus (pineapple)
Lineage: Eukaryota; Viridiplantae; Streptophyta; Magnoliopsida; Poales; Bromeliaceae
Description: long non-coding RNA (ACOM_LNC017575)
Source: RNAcentral
UAUGGUUGUAUGAGUGAGGUUGGUAUGCUUCUGAAAGCACAGAACCUUUCAUGCUUUCAAGUUGUUUUCAAUGUUGGGACUUUCGAAUCGACGAUCGGCUUUGUUAGACUUGAUCUAGUGUAUUUGAAGUAUCUACAAAAUAAAUUUUGCGAUUUUUCGAUAUCAUUUGUCUAGCGAUCAAAGGGGUUCAAAAUCAAUGGCUGAAAAUAGAAAUCUUACAAAAUGUGAUGAUAUGAUAUUAAAAUUUUAGAACAAAGAUAUUGAUCUUGUUUUAUGUAGUAUAAAGAAUUUUCUAUCAAAAUUUCGCCCGAUUUGGAUAUUUCUACACAGUUAAACUUGCAAACAGAUCACCACGGCCAUUAAAAUUAUUAAUUUUGAGCCCCUUCGUUCACUAGACAAAUGAUAUCAAAAAAUCAUAAAAUUUAUUUUUCAGGCACUUCAAAUACUCUAGAUCAAGUCUAACGGAGCCGAUCGUCAAUUUAAAAGUCCCAAAAUCGAAAAAGACUUGGAAGCACGGAAGGCUCCGUGCGCUUUCAGAAACAUACCAGCCUCACUCAUG